Molecule: ribosomal RNA, 253 nt
Filed under: uncultured bacterium
Lineage: Bacteria
Description: partial 16S ribosomal RNA
Rfam family: Bacterial small subunit ribosomal RNA
Source: RNAcentral
UACAGAGGGGGCAAGCGUUAUUCGGAAUUAUUGGGCGUAAAGGGCGCGUAGGCGGCGAUUCAAGUGACGGGUGAAAUCCCUCGGCUUAACCGAGGAACUGCCUGUCAGACUGGAUUGCUUGAGGCCGGGAGAGGCGAGUGGAAUUCCCAGUGUAGCGGUGAAAUGCGUAGAUAUCUGGAGGAACACCGGUGGCGAAGGCGGCAUCCUGGACCAACACUGACGCUGAGGAGCGAAAGCCAGGGGAGCAAACGGG